GGUGAGUACAGUGGCGUACGGGUGAGUAACACGUGGAUGAUCUACCUCUUAGUUCGGAAUAACCCUGGGAAACCGGGGCUAAUACCGGAUAAGCUCGAGAGAGGAAAGUCGCAAGACGCUGAGAGAGGAGUCCGCGGCCGAUUAGCUAGUUGGCAGGGUAAAAGCCUACCAAGGCGAAGAUCGGUAGCCGGCCUGAGAGGGCACACGGCCACACUGGCACUGAAACACGGGCCAGACUCCUACGGGAGGCAGCAGUGGGGAAUCUUGCACAAUGGGGGAAACCCUGAUGCAGCGACGCCGCGUGAGCGAUGAAGCCCUUCGGGGUGUAAAGCUCUUUCGGCAGGGAAGAUGAUGACGGUACCUGCAGAAGCAGCUGCGGCUAACUACGUGCCAGCAGCCGCGGUAAUACGUAGGCAGCAAGCGUUGUUCGGAGUUACUGGGCGUAAAGGGUGUGUAGGCGGCUUUUUAAGUUUGGUGUGAAAUCUCCCGGCUCAACUGGGAGGGUGCGCCGAAUACUGAGAGGCUCGAGUGCGGGAGAGGAGAGUGGAAUUCCUGGUGUAGCGGUGAAAUGCGUAGAUAUCAGGAGGAACACCGGUGGGUGUAGACGGCUCUCUGGACCGUAACUGACGCUGGGACACGAAAGCGUGGGUAGCAAACAGGAUUAGAUACCCUGGUAGUCCACGCCCUAAACGAUGCACAUUUGGGUGUGGGCAGUUCAUUCUGUCCGUGCCGGAGCUAACGCGUUAAAUGUGCCGCCUGGGGAGUACAGUC
This 771-nucleotide ribosomal RNA is filed under the name uncultured bacterium. Its description in RNAcentral is "bacterial SSU rRNA". It matches the Rfam family "Bacterial small subunit ribosomal RNA", at positions 85 to 887 of the family's 1533-position model. The record is from RNAcentral.